GUAACACGUGAGCAAUCUGCCCCGAACUCUGGGAUAAGCGUUGGAAACGACGUCUAAUACCGGAUACGACGCGCGAAGGCAUCUUCAGCGCGUGGAAAGAACUUCGGUUCGGGAUGAGCUCGCGGCCUAUCAGCUUGUUGGCGGGGUAAUGGCCCACCAAGGCAACGACGGGUAGCUGGUCUGAGAGGAUGGUCAGCCACACUGGGACUGAGACACGGCCCAGACUCC
Molecule: ribosomal RNA, 228 nt
Filed under: uncultured bacterium
Lineage: Bacteria
Description: partial 16S ribosomal RNA
Rfam family: Bacterial small subunit ribosomal RNA
Source: RNAcentral